UAGCUCAGUGGAUAAAGAAUCUGCCUGCAAUGCAGGAGACCCAGGUUCAAUCCCUGG
This 57-nucleotide transfer RNA is filed under the name Ovis aries (sheep). It matches the Rfam family "tRNA", at positions 8 to 63 of the family's 71-position model. Rfam says of the family: Transfer RNA (tRNA) molecules are approximately 80 nucleotides in length. Their secondary structure includes four short double-helical elements and three loops (D, anti-codon, and T loops). The record is from Rfam by way of RNAcentral. Lineage: Eukaryota; Metazoa; Chordata; Mammalia; Artiodactyla; Bovidae.